CACGUGGAUAACCUACCUAUAAGACUGGGAUAACUUCGGGAAACCGGAGCUAAUACCGGAUAAUAUUUUGAACCGCAUGGUUCAAAAGUGAAAGACGGUCUUGCUGUCACUUAUAGAUGGAUCCGCGCUGCAUUAGCUAGUUGGUAAGGUAACGGCUUACCAAGGCAACGAUGCAUAGCCGACCUGAGAGGGUGAUCGGCCACACUGGAACUGAGACACGGUCCAGACUCCUACGGGAGGCAGCAGUAGGGAAUCUUCCGCAAUGGGCGAAAGCCUGACGGAGCAACGCCGCGUGAGUGAUGAAGGUCUUCGGAUCGUAAAACUCUGUUAUUAGGGAAGAACAUAUGUGUAAGUAACUGUGCACAUCUUGACGGUACCUAAUCAGAAAGCCACGGCUAACUACGUGCCAGCAGCCGCGGUAAUACGUAGGUGGCAAGCGUUAUCCGGAAUUAUUGGGCGUAAAGCGCGCGUAGGCGGUUUUUUAAGUCUGAUGUGAAAGCCCACGGCUCAACCGUGGAGGGUCAUUGGAAACUGGAAAACUUGAGUGCAGAAGAGGAAAGUGGAAUUCCAUGUGUAGCGGUGAAAUGCGCAGAGAUAUGGAGGAACACCAGUGGCGAAGGCGACUUUCUGGUCUGUAACUGACGCUGAUGUGCGAAAGCGUGGGGAUCAAACAGGAUUAGAUACCCUGGUAGUCCACGCCGUAAACGAUGAGUGCUAAGUGUUAGGGGGUUUCCGCCCCUUAGUGCUGCAGCUAACGCAUUAAGCACUCCGCCUGGGGAGUACGACCGCAAGGUUGAAACUCAAAGGAAUUGACGGGGACCCGCACAAGCGGUGGAGCAUGUGGUUUAAUUCGAAGCAACGCGAAGAACCUUACCAAAUCUUGACAUCCUUUGACAACUCUAGAGAUAGAGCCUUCCCCUUCGGGGGACAAAGUGACAGGUGGUGCAUGGUUGUCGUCAGCUCGUGUCGUGAGAUGUUGGGUUAAGUCCCGCAACGAGCGCAACCCUUAAGCUUAGUUGCCAUCAUUAAGUUGGGCACUCUAAGUUGACUGCCGGUGACAAACCGGAGGAAGGUGGGGAUGACGUCAAAUCAUCAUGCCCCUU
RNAcentral lists this ribosomal RNA (1103 nucleotides) under Staphylococcus sp. RNAcentral's name for it is "bacterial SSU rRNA". It matches the Rfam family "Bacterial small subunit ribosomal RNA", at positions 114 to 1203 of the family's 1533-position model. The record is from RNAcentral. Lineage: Bacteria; Bacillati; Bacillota; Bacilli; Caryophanales; Staphylococcaceae.